Molecule: ribosomal RNA, 471 nt
Filed under: uncultured Pelotomaculum sp.
Lineage: Bacteria; Bacillati; Bacillota; Clostridia; Eubacteriales; Desulfotomaculaceae
Description: bacterial SSU rRNA
Rfam family: Bacterial small subunit ribosomal RNA
Source: RNAcentral
ACGGGGCCCGCACAAGCGGUGGAGCAUGUGGUUUAAUUCGACGCAACGCGAAGAACCUUACCAGGGCUUGACAUCCCCUGACCGCGUAUGAAAGUACGUUUUCACCCUCGGGUGACAGGGAGACAGGUGGUGCAUGGUUGUCGUCAGCUCGUGUCGUGAGAUGUUGGGUUAAGUCCCGCAACGAGCGCAACCCCUACGUUUAGUUGCUAACGCGUGAAGGCGAGCACUCUAGACGAACUGCCGUUGACAAAACGGAGGAAGGUGGGGAUGACGUCAAAUCAUCAUGCCCCUUAUGUUCUGGGCUACACACGUGCUACAAUGGCCGGUACAGACGGACGCAAAGCCGCGAGGUGGAGCAAAUCCUAAAAAGCCGGUCUCAGUUCGGAUUGCAGGCUGCAAUUCGCCUGCAUGAAGUCGGAAUCGCUAGUAAUCGCAGGUCAGCAUACUGCGGUGAAUACGUUCCCGGGCCUU